Non-coding RNA from Paramuricea clavata, 909 nucleotides. The record is from the annotation of a GenBank genome assembly. Lineage: Eukaryota; Metazoa; Cnidaria; Anthozoa; Malacalcyonacea; Plexauridae.
CAGCAAUGACACGUGAACUGAUACACAACAUGUGAUCUCAGGGCAAUGGGAAUCCUGUCUUUAAAUGGAAAGAAACUAGAAAGGCGACAAGUGGGACGGAAAACAACACGUAUGGAAAUAUGUGGAUAAGCAGAAGCAAGAACUUUACUAAGUUGUGAACGGAUAUGUAGACCAUGAUGUCCAGUGAAAGGAAGGCUAAAGUAAACAAUUUUCUUGGAACAUGUAUGGACCUUGUCCUUGGUGUUGUAAAUCCUGUCAAGAAAUGUCUUUAUGCAACUAUCUAUAAGUACUUUAGAAUAACCAUUGGAAGAAAAGGUUUUUUUAAAAUUUUCCAUUUCAGACUGAAAAUUUAGAUAUGUAAGAAGAACAAAUAUUGAAAUAUCGGGAUAUAAGAGAGAAAAGGAGACCUUUUUUGUACAUCAUUGGAAUAAAGCUAUCAAAGUUUGUGAAUAAACCAGUUGAAGUGCAUUUGUGAUGGACUGAGGUCGUGAAUGAGCCAGUGGCGUGCUGGGUACUAUUUUUCUGGGGGGGCCAGUGGGCUAUCAACCAAUAUGCGCCCCUAUAAUGUGACGCUUGAUAAACGAGGGCCGAAGGCACAAGCCGAGCGCCGCAGGUGCGAGGUGUUCCUAGGGGGGUCCGGGGGCAUGCCCCCCCCGGAAAAUUUUUAAAUUUAGAGUCUCUGAAAUGCCAUUUCCUGGACUUUGGGGGGAAGAUUUGACAGAAAUCUGAUGGUCAGGAAACGAGAUUAUAACGAGUCGAAAUUUGCAAUUUGGUUACAAUUUCCGUAGAGGAACUUAAAUUGGUACGGUAUCAGUUUUACUAUAAAUCUUUAUUUUAGAUUAAUUGUGGAGGAAUAAAGUCACUCGUUGAGUAUAUUUGUAUAAAAUAUUUUGAUUUAUAAUAAACGCC